AUGCUCCUUUUGGCAGCACAUAUACUAAAACUGGAACAAUACAGAGAAGAUUAGCAUGGCCCCUGUGCAAGGGUGACAUGCAAAUUCGUGAAGUGUUCCAUAUUUUU
RNAcentral lists this small nuclear RNA (107 nucleotides) under Sus scrofa (pig). Lineage: Eukaryota; Metazoa; Chordata; Mammalia; Artiodactyla; Suidae. The record is from RNAcentral.